Stegastes partitus (bicolor damselfish) is the source of this 505-nucleotide long non-coding RNA. RefSeq lists it as uncharacterized. The record is from RefSeq and is a predicted model, not a curated record. The transcript has 2 exons. Lineage: Eukaryota; Metazoa; Chordata; Actinopteri; Pomacentridae.
CACUGACAUCAGUUUAAAAAAACAAAAACAAAUGCAGACUUCCAGUAUUUCAUAUGUAGCUGCAGUGGAAAAUGUAAUCUACAUGUGUGUUUCUAGGCACAUAUAUAUCUUUAUGUUGUGAUAUGGGCAUGUUUAGUUUGUUGUGCAUGAUUCCUGUGAUUGUGUCUUUUUCUGUGGAGGGCUGGUUUUUGAGUUUCAGGCUGGGUGGGGCGGAUUUGGAGUAGGAUGCUCCCACUCUGGCACUCGGUGCAUCAUCCCAAUCAGCGCGCUGGAUAAAGCCACUCUUCACCUGUGCUCCAGCGCCAGAUGAUUGCCUACCCAAUGUGUGCGUCUCCUCCAUUCAGCCUCCAUUCCAGCCAUUCAGGUUUCCCACACCAGCUUUCACGCUGACAACACAGACCUCACUUCUCCCCUCAUGAGCACCGGCACGAGACACCACCCUCACCUCUGGUUUUCCUGCUGCGCUUUAGACUAGAUUCCCCAAUAAACCUGUUUUCCUUUUUAA